Molecule: ribosomal RNA, 497 nt
Filed under: uncultured bacterium
Lineage: Bacteria
Description: partial 16S ribosomal RNA
Rfam family: Bacterial small subunit ribosomal RNA
Source: RNAcentral
GAUGAACGCUGGCGGCGUGCCUAAUACAUGCAAGUCGAGCGAACAGACGAGGAGCUUGCUCCUCUGACGUUAGCGGCGGACGGGUGAGUAACACGUGGAUAACCUACCUAUAAGACUGGGAUAACUUCGGGAAACCGGAUCUAAUACCGGAUAAUAUAUUGAACCGCAUGGUUCAAUAGAGAAAGACGGUUUUGCUGUCACUUAUAGAUGGAUCCGCGCCGCAUUAGCUAGUUGGUAAGGUAACGGCUUACCAAGGCAACGAUGCGUAGCCGACCUGAGAGGGUGAUCAGCCACACUGGAACUGAGACACGGUCCAGACUCCUACGGGAGGCAGCAGUGGGGAAUCUUCCGCAAUGGGCGAAAGCUUGACGGAGCAACGCCGCGUGAGUGAUGAAGGUCUUCGGAUCGUAAAACUCUGUUAUUAGGGAAGAACAAAUGUGUAAGUAACUAUGCACGUCUUGACGGUACCUAAUCAGAAAGCCACGGCUAACUACGUG